GACGAACGCUGGCGGCGUGCCUAAUACAUGCAAGUCGAGCGGACGAUUGAAGAGCUUGCUCUUCAAUCGUUAGCGGCGGACGGGUGAGUAACACGUGGGCAACCUGCCUUAACGACUGGGAUAACUCCGGGAAACCGGGGCUAAUACCGGAUAACAUCUAGCACCUCCUGGUUCCAGACUAAAAGAGGGCCUCUGGCUCUCACGUUCAGAGGUGCCCGCGGCGCAUUAGCUAGUUGGAGAGGUAACGGCUCCCCAAGGCGACGAUGCGUAGCCGACCUGAGAGGGUGAUCGGCCACACUGGGACUGAGACACGGCCCAGACUCCUACGGGAGGCAGCAGUAGGGAAUCUUCCGCAAUGGACGAAAGUCUGACGGAGCAACGCCGCGUGAGUGAUGAAGGGUUUCGGCUCGUAAAGCUCUGUUAUGAGGGAAGAACAAGUGCCAUUCAAAUAGGUUGGCACCUUGACGGUACCUCAUCAGAAAGCCACGGCUAACUACGUGCCAGCAGCCGCGGUAA
This 516-nucleotide ribosomal RNA is filed under the name uncultured bacterium. Its description in RNAcentral is "partial 16S ribosomal RNA". It matches the Rfam family "Bacterial small subunit ribosomal RNA", at positions 28 to 523 of the family's 1533-position model. The record is from RNAcentral.